RNAcentral lists this transfer RNA (71 nucleotides) under Loxodonta africana (African savanna elephant). It matches the Rfam family "tRNA". Rfam says of the family: Transfer RNA (tRNA) molecules are approximately 80 nucleotides in length. Their secondary structure includes four short double-helical elements and three loops (D, anti-codon, and T loops). Further hydrogen bonds mediate the characteristic L-shaped molecular structure. tRNAs have two regions of fundamental functional importance: the anti-codon, which is responsible for specific mRNA codon recognition, and the 3' end, to which the tRNAs corresponding amino acid is attached (by aminoacyl-tRNA synthetases). tRNAs cope with the degeneracy of the genetic code in two manners: having more than one tRNA (with a specific anti-codon) for a particular amino acid; and 'wobble' base-pairing, i.e. permitting non-standard base-pairing at the 3rd anti-codon position. The record is from Rfam by way of RNAcentral. Lineage: Eukaryota; Metazoa; Chordata; Mammalia; Proboscidea; Elephantidae.
ACAAUGGCAGUUCAGUGGUGGAAUUCUUGCCUGACAUGCAGGAGACCCAGGUUCGAUUCCCGGCCAAUGCA